This 433-nucleotide ribosomal RNA is filed under the name uncultured Methanocella sp. Its description in RNAcentral is "bacterial SSU rRNA". It matches the Rfam family "Archaeal small subunit ribosomal RNA", at positions 1 to 442 of the family's 1478-position model. Lineage: Archaea; Methanobacteriati; Methanobacteriota; Methanomicrobia; Methanocellales; Methanocellaceae. The record is from RNAcentral.
UUCCGGUUGAUCCUGCCAGAGGUCACUGCUAUCGGUGUCCGAUUAAGCCAUGCGAGUCGAGAGGUGUAAGACCUCGGCAGACUGCUCAGUAACACGUGGAUAACCUGCCCAAGGGUCCGGGAUAACCCCGGGAAACUGGGGAUAAUACCGGAUGGGUCACCAGUGCUGGAAUGCUUGGUGGUCGAAAGGUGACGCCUUUGGAUGGGUCUGCGGCGGAUUAGGUUGACGCCGGUGUAACGUACCGGCGUGCCUGUAAUCCGUACGGGUUGUGGGAGCAAGAGCCCGGAGAUGGAUUCUGAGACACGAAUCCAGGCCCUACGGGGCGCAGCAGGCGCGAAAACUCUACAAUGCAGGCAACUGCGAUAGGGGGACAUCGAGUGGCAUCCACCUUGGGUGUCUGUCCAACCGUCUAAAAAACGGUUGUUAGCAAGGG